UACGUAGGGGGGCAAGCGUUGUCCGGAUUUAUUGGGCGUAAAGCGCGUGUAGGCGGUCCGGUAAGUCCGCUGUGAAAGUCGGGGGGCUCAACCCUCGGAUGCCGGUGGAUACUGUCGGGCUUGAGUACGGAAGAGGCGAGUGGAAUUCCUGGUGUAGCGGUGAAAUGCGCAGAUAUCAGGAGGAACACCAAUUGCGAAGGCAGCUCGCUGGGACGUUACUGACGCUGAGACGCGAAAGCGUGGGGAGCAAACAGG
This 255-nucleotide ribosomal RNA is filed under the name uncultured bacterium. RNAcentral describes it as "partial 16S ribosomal RNA". It matches the Rfam family "Bacterial small subunit ribosomal RNA", at positions 524 to 776 of the family's 1533-position model. The record is from RNAcentral.